UUUGAUUUUGGGUUAGAUCUAAUGCUUCUAUUUCAUGGUUACCAUAGUACUUUGGUUAAAAUUUUUUUGGUGUUGUUUACCACCUUAACAUUCUCCAAUGCGCCAUUACACUUGUCAUCUUGAACUAGAUAAAACCUACUUUGAACAUGCUUCAAGGAAGACUUGAUUGAUGUUCAUAUGCUUGGCUGCAGUUAAUAAAAUCAGGUGCUUAACUAGUGUUAAUUAUUUUAUCUGCACUCAACUGGCCUUGUUACUUCAUUCCAGG
RNAcentral lists this unclassified non-coding RNA (265 nucleotides) under Hevea brasiliensis (rubber tree). Lineage: Eukaryota; Viridiplantae; Streptophyta; Magnoliopsida; Malpighiales; Euphorbiaceae. The record is from RNAcentral.